RNAcentral lists this ribosomal RNA (1430 nucleotides) under uncultured bacterium. RNAcentral's name for it is "partial 16S ribosomal RNA". It matches the Rfam family "Bacterial small subunit ribosomal RNA". The record is from RNAcentral.
GCUCAGAACGUACGCUGGCGGCACGCCUAACACAUGCAAGUCGAGCGGGGUAGCAAUACCUAGCGGCAGACGGGUGCGUAACAUGUGGGAAUCUGCCUUUUGGUUCGGAACAACACGGGGAAACCUGUGCUAAUACCGGAUAAGUCCUUACGGAGAAAGUUUUAAUGCCAAAAGAUGAGCCCGCAUUUGAUUAGCUAGUUGGUGAGGUAAGAGCUCACCAAGGCGAUAAUCAAUAGCUGAUUUGAGAGGAUGAUCAGCCACACUGGGACUGAGAUACGGCCCAGACUCCUACGGGAGGCAGCAGUGGGGAAUCUUGCACAAUGGGCGAAAGCCUGAUGCAGCGAUGCCGCGUGAGUGAAGAAGGCCUUUGGGUUGUAAAGCUCUUUUGUCGGGAAAGAUAAUGACUGUACCCGAAGAAUAAGGUCCGGCUAACUUCGUGCCAGCAGCCGCGGUAAUACGAAGGGACCUAGCGUAGUUCGGAAUUACUGGGCGUAAAGAGUAUGUAGGCGGCUAGAUAAGUUAAUUGUGAAAGCCCAAAGCUUAACUUUGGAAUUGCAACUAAAACUAUUUAGCUAGAGUAUGAUAGAGGAAAGCGGAAUACAUAGUGUAGAGGUGAAAUUCGUAGAUAUUAUGUAGAACACCAGUUGCGAAGGCGGCUUUCUGGAUCAUUACUGACGCUGAGAUACGAAAGUAUGGGUAGCGAAGAGGAUUAGAUACCCUCGUAGUCCAUACUGUAAACGAUGAUUAUUAGAUGUGGGGAAUUAUUUCUCUGUAUCACAGCUAACGCGUUAAAUAAUCCGCCUGGGGAGUACGACCGCAAGGUUAAAACUCAAAUGAAUUGACGGGGACCCGCACAAGCGGUGGAUGAUGUGGUUUAAUUCGAUGCAACGCGAAAAACCUUACCUACCCUUGACAUGUACGGAACUUGCCAGAGAUGGCUUGGUGCUCGAAAGAGAGCCGUAACACAGGUGCUGCAUGGCUGUCGUCAGCUCGUGUCGUGAGAUGUUGGGUUAAGUCCCGCAACGAGCGCAACCCUUGUCAUUAGUUGCUACAUUUAGUUGGGCACUCUAAUGAGACUGCCGGUGACAAACCGGAGGAAGGUGGGGAUGACGUCAAGUCCUCAUGGCCCUUAUGGGUAGGGCUACACACGUCAUACAAUGGCUGGUACAAAGGGUUGCCAACCCGCGAGGGGGAGCUAAUCCCAUAAAGCCAGUCGUAGUCCGGAUCGUAGUCUGCAACUCGACUGCGUGAAGUCGGAAUCGCUAGUAAUCGUGGAUCAGAAUGUCACGGUGAAUACGUUCCCGGGACUUGUACACACCGCCCGUCACACCAUGGGAGCGGGUCUCGCCAGAAGUAGUUAGCCUAACCGCAAGGGGGGCGAUUACCACGGCGGGGUUCGUGACUGGGGUGAAGUCGUAACAAGGUAACCG